GAUGAACGCUGGCGGCGUGCCUAAUACAUGCAAGUCGAGCGAACAGACGAGGAGCUUGCUCCUCUGACGUUAGCGGCGGACGGGUGAGUAACACGUGGAUAACCUACCUAUAAGACUGGGAUAACUUCGGGAAACCGGAGCUAAUACCGGAUAAUAUAUUGAACCGCAUGGUUCAAUAGUGAAAGACGGUUUUGCUGUCACUUAUAGAUGGAUCCGCGCCGCAUUAGCUAGUUGGUAAGGUUACGGCUUACCAAGGCGACGAUGCGUAGCCGACCUGAGAGGGUGAUCGGCCACACUGGAACUGAGACACGGUCCAGACUCCUACGGGAGGCAGCAGUAGGGAAUCUUCCGCAAUGGGCGAAAGCCUGACGGAGCAACGCCGCGUGAGUGAUGAAGGUCUUCGGAUCGUAAAACUCUGUUAUUAGGGAAGAACAAAUGUGUAAGUAACUAUGCACGUCUUGACGGUACCUAAUCAGAAAGCCACGGCUAACUACGUG
RNAcentral lists this ribosomal RNA (497 nucleotides) under uncultured bacterium. RNAcentral's name for it is "partial 16S ribosomal RNA". It matches the Rfam family "Bacterial small subunit ribosomal RNA", at positions 28 to 507 of the family's 1533-position model. The record is from RNAcentral.